GCAAACUUGGUCAUUUAGAGGAAGUAAAAGUCGUAACAAGGUUUCCGUAGGUGAACCUGCGGAAGGAUCAUUAUUGAAUAAUCUGCCUUGAUGGGUUGUAGCUGGCCUCUUGAGGCAUGUGCACGCCUGUCUUGACUCUAUUCAUCCACCUGUGCACUUAUUGUAGUUCUUUACUCUUUGAUGGUCAAGAAAAACAGGCUGUUAUUCAGUUGAAACACACUGGAUUUGAGGAUUGCCUUUUGGCUUUCCUCUCCCUAGCCUUGUGAAAUCAUGCCUUCUUGGGAGAAAGGGACUAUGUCUUUUAUCAUAAACCAUGUAGUAUGUUGUCAGAAUGUAUUCAAUGGGCUUUCUGUGCCUAUAAAACCUUAUACAACUUUCAGCAACGGAUCUCUUGGCUCUCGCAUCGAUGAAGAACGCAGC
This 420-nucleotide unclassified non-coding RNA is filed under the name uncultured fungus. Its description in RNAcentral is "partial contains small subunit ribosomal RNA, internal transcribed spacer 1, and 5.8S ribosomal RNA". The stretch from base 1 to 73 matches the Rfam family "Eukaryotic small subunit ribosomal RNA", at positions 1759 to 1831 of the family's 1831-position model. Lineage: Eukaryota; Fungi. The record is from RNAcentral.